This 301-nucleotide ribosomal RNA is filed under the name uncultured bacterium. RNAcentral describes it as "partial 16S ribosomal RNA". It matches the Rfam family "Bacterial small subunit ribosomal RNA", at positions 509 to 807 of the family's 1533-position model. The record is from RNAcentral.
CAGUAGCCGCGGGAAUACGUAGGGUGCAAGCGUUGUCCGGAAUUAUUGGGCGUAAAGAGCUCGUAGGCGGUCUGUCGCGUCGAAUGUGAAAACCCGGGGCUCAACCCCGGGCCUGCAUUCGAUACGGGCAGACUAGAGUUCGGUAGGGGAGUCUGGAAUUCCUGGUGUAGCGGUGAAAUGCGCAGAUAUCAGGAGGAACACCGGUGGCGAAGGCGGGACUCUGGGCCGAUACUGACGCUGAGGAGCGAAAGCGUGGGGAGCAAACAGGAUUAGAUACCCCAGUAGUCCCUGUCUCUUAUAC